RNAcentral lists this ribosomal RNA (253 nucleotides) under uncultured bacterium. RNAcentral's name for it is "partial 16S ribosomal RNA". It matches the Rfam family "Bacterial small subunit ribosomal RNA", at positions 524 to 776 of the family's 1533-position model. The record is from RNAcentral.
GACGAACCGUGCAAACGUUGUUCGGAAUCACUGGGCUUAAAGGGCGCGUAGGCGGAUGAGCAAGUCUGUGGUGAAAUCCCCCGGCUUAACCGGGGAACUGCCGUGGAUACUGCACAUCUCGAGGAAGAUAGGGGCGUCUGGAACUAGCGGUGGAGCGGUGAAAUGCGUUGAUAUCUGAAGGAACACCAGUGGCGAAAGCGGCUUCCUGGUCCAGCACCGACGUUCAGGCACGAAAGCGUGGGGAGCAAACAGG